GGAAACAUGGGUGGAAGCAUAUUCUUGCACUCAUAAUGCUGGGGUCGGUGGUUCAAGUCCACCUAUCACCACCA
Molecule: transfer RNA, 74 nt
Filed under: Collimonas sp. OK242
Lineage: Bacteria; Pseudomonadati; Pseudomonadota; Betaproteobacteria; Burkholderiales; Oxalobacteraceae
Description: tRNA_Pseudo_CAT
Source: RNAcentral